Molecule: ribosomal RNA, 358 nt
Filed under: Amphitholina cuniculus
Lineage: Eukaryota; Metazoa; Arthropoda; Malacostraca; Amphipoda; Ampithoidae
Description: partial large subunit ribosomal RNA
Source: RNAcentral
UUGAAUACUAGUAUGAACGAUAGUACAUUUAAAUAUUUUCUUUGGUUAAGUAAUAUAAUUUAGGGUUUAGGUAAAAACACCUAAAUAAAUAAAAAAGACGAUAAGACCCUAAAAGCUUUAUUUAUAUAAAUUUAUAUUUUAUAAAUUUAAAUUUAAAUUUUUAACUGGGGUAGUCAAAUAGCUAUUAUAUAAAAAAUAUCAAUUCUCUAUAAUUAGGUUUUAGAUAAGUUACUUUAGGGAUAACAGCGUAAUAGUAGUGAAGAGCACUUAUCUAUAUAACUGAUUACGACCUCGAUGUUGAAUUAAUAAAUCUAAUUUAAAGCAGUUUUUAACUAAGAGGGUUUGUUCAACCCUUAAU